Molecule: transfer RNA, 84 nt
Filed under: Desulfuromonas soudanensis
Lineage: Bacteria; Pseudomonadati; Thermodesulfobacteriota; Desulfuromonadia; Desulfuromonadales; Desulfuromonadaceae
Rfam family: tRNA
About the family: Transfer RNA (tRNA) molecules are approximately 80 nucleotides in length. Their secondary structure includes four short double-helical elements and three loops (D, anti-codon, and T loops).
Source: Rfam by way of RNAcentral
GCCCGGGUGGUGGAAUUGGCAGACACAAGGGACUUAAAAUCCCUCGACCGUAAGGUUGUACGGGUUCGACCCCCGUCCCGGGCA